Molecule: transfer RNA, 77 nt
Filed under: Halimeda micronesica
Lineage: Eukaryota; Viridiplantae; Chlorophyta; Ulvophyceae; Bryopsidales; Halimedaceae
Description: tRNA-Met
Rfam family: tRNA
About the family: Transfer RNA (tRNA) molecules are approximately 80 nucleotides in length. Their secondary structure includes four short double-helical elements and three loops (D, anti-codon, and T loops).
Source: RNAcentral
UGCCUAUUUAGCUCAGCUGGUUAGAGCAUCCGUUUCAUACGCGGAAGGUAACUCGUUCAAUUCGAGUAAUAGGCAUC